AUUGAACGCUGGCGGAAUGCUUUACACAUGCAAGUCGAGCGGCAGCGCGGGGGCAACCCUGGCGGCGAGCGGCGAACGGGUGAGUAAUACAUCGGAACGUGUCCUUCAAGUGGGGGAUAGCUCGGCGAAAGCCGGAUUAAUACCGCAUAAGCUCUGAGGAGGAAAGCGGGGGACGUGGUAACGGCCUCGCGCUGUUGGAGCGGCCGAUGUCGGAUUAGCUAGUUGGUGGGGUAAAGGCCCACCAAGGCGACGAUCCGUAGCUGGUCUGAGAGGAUGAUCAGCCACACUGGAACUGAGACACGGUCCAGACUCCUACGGGAGGCAGCAGUGGGGAAUUUUGGACAAUGGGGCAACCCUGAUCCAGCCAUUCCGCGUGAGUGAAGAAGGCCUCGG
Molecule: ribosomal RNA, 393 nt
Filed under: uncultured bacterium
Lineage: Bacteria
Description: bacterial SSU rRNA
Rfam family: Bacterial small subunit ribosomal RNA
Source: RNAcentral